GGCUCGAUGGCGGAAGGUCGGCGCCUGUGUUUCAUCUCGGAUGGACUAAUUCAUCGCAGGAGGUGCCCGUUCGACUCGGGCUCGAGCCA
Molecule: non-coding RNA, 89 nt
Organism: Mycena latifolia
Lineage: Eukaryota; Fungi; Basidiomycota; Agaricomycetes; Agaricales; Mycenaceae
Source: the annotation of a GenBank genome assembly